Anopheles gambiae (African malaria mosquito) is the source of this 1663-nucleotide long non-coding RNA. RefSeq lists it as uncharacterized. The transcript has 3 exons. Lineage: Eukaryota; Metazoa; Arthropoda; Insecta; Diptera; Culicidae. The record is from RefSeq and is a predicted model, not a curated record.
UUUAACUGUAUUUUAAAAUCAAAUAUUUCGUGUUAGAAUUAAAUUUUAGCCAGGACUUUAAGCUCUAAGAACAAGAAUGAAAACCACAACUCAUAAAAUACACAUUAACCUUCAUUGUACUACUGCUCAUUAAGAAAUAUUUGAGCUAUGUUCUCAUCUUCUUAUAAUUUCUAUAUAACUAAAAUAGCACCAAAGUUUGAUCUCACAUUCUAGGAUCAAAUUCACACACGUCACACAUUUCCUUGCGGCAAUCAUCGUGUUACGGGGUGAACGUGUUGAUGAACCCAGUUCCCACCGUGGCAUUCACUGCUGUAACAGUAACACAGCUUAACUUUCAUGCGCGUAGUGCAAUCUUGCCCUUAAAUGUCACCCAAACCGUGUGACGAGCGUUGAUGAUCAUGACACCACAGCCAGCUAGGGCGUGCUGCUGCUGUAGUUGUUUAACGAUUUUCGACCCCAACCAUAGACUAUCGCCGAAUUAUACGGCGUGUUUAUGGCAUUUACCCCCUAAAACCGCCCAACAGGAAAAUCAGUCCCACUGUUCCACAUCUCACGAUAUCUGCAUCCGCAUGUCUGGCACAAAGAACAGCUAAGACGGAACGUUCACCUUAGGAUGGAAAACCACCACAUUCGAAACCCCAAGCUCUAGGAGAAGAAAGUCUAUGUUCAUUCGAAAUGGAAAGCGCACGAAGAAAGACCUUCCUAGUUGCAUGCAAAACCAAUUCCAAUAGAUCGGCUUUCCUCUUGUCGAUCCCGAGUGUUUACCAUCGAUCCAAGAUGAUUAGCAGAAGGCGAGGAAGAUGGGGAAAUGAUUGGGAAUUAAAUCAAAACGCGCCGCAGUUAUCAACGCAAAAGUGAGUUACGAACUUGCGAGGAUGCGAAAAACGCACCCAUUUCUCCAUGCAAACAGGGGUAUAGCGAACACGAUCGUCGGAUUUCGAUGAAAUUGUCCAUAAAUAACGUAAAUCCUCAGGGCCGUUCAAGCGUCGGUAUCGAGUGCGCGAAAGGUAGGAGAAAUCAUUGAAAGUGAAACUAGCACCAAAGGAAGGUGAUGUAGUAGUCGCGAACACCGAUUUGACCCACCCCCGAGCAACAGCGACCGGAUGUAUAAAACCCGGACUUGCUCUCGCCAAUGAACGGGGAGAGGCGACAGGCAGAAGAAAGUGUCGCGAUGUACCAGACGCGACUAGAGAGCUGAUGACGACUGCACACACUAUAUACGGCACGUAGAGAGGAACGAGAAACAACUCUCCGGUGGAAGUUUCCGGGCCGAAAAGUGAAAGCAGUUAGACCACAGGCGGUAUAGUAGUAGUGGGGUUUCGGAAACAUACGACCGGAUCGUUAGGCCCUUUUUGCUGCCUUUUGAGUUUUGUUUUUCUCCGAGCUCCAUGCGGUCUCAGGUAAAUGCUCCCAAAUGCAGCAGGCAAGCUUGUCCUGCACACUAAAAGGUCAUUAAACUUUGAUAGAAAAAAGUACAUUCAAGCAUUUGUGAAGGAUUCUCUGUAUAUUUCUAUCACCAAUGAACGAACUUAACCCGGGAUUAUUGUAAUACGUUUCUGUACCUCCAAUGAAUCGCCGCAAACCGACCCACAUUCCACUAAAAUACAUUCAAAUAACAACCAGCCACGAAUCACUCACGAGAUACCCCCGUUUGACAAACAUU